RNAcentral lists this ribosomal RNA (429 nucleotides) under Chloroflexota bacterium. Its description in RNAcentral is "Chloroflexi bacterium partial 16S ribosomal RNA". It matches the Rfam family "Bacterial small subunit ribosomal RNA", at positions 355 to 776 of the family's 1533-position model. Lineage: Bacteria; Bacillati; Chloroflexota. The record is from RNAcentral.
UGGGGAAUAUUGCACAAUGGGCGCAAGCCUGAUGCAGCCAUGCCGCGUGUAUGAAGAAGGCCUUCGGGUUGUAAAGUACUUUCAGUCGGGAGGAAGGUGUCAAGGUUAAUAACCUUGUCGAUUGACGUUACCCGCAGAAGAAGCACCGGCUAACUCCGUGCCAGCAGCCGCGGUAAUACGGAGGGUGCAAGCGUUAAUCGGAAUUACUGGGCGUAAAGCGCACGCAGGCGGUCUGUCAAGUCGGAUGUGAAAUCCCCGGGCUUAACCUGGGAACUGCAUUCGAAACUGGCAGGCUAGAGUCUUGUAGAGGGGGGUAGAAUGCCAGGGGUAGCGGUGAAAUGCGUAGAAAUCUGGAGGAAUACCGGUGGCGAAGGCGGCCCCCUGGACAAAGACUGACGCUAAGGUGCGAAAGCGGGGGGAGCAAACAGG